AUUGCUUCUUGGCUUUUUGGCUAAGAUCAAGUGUAGCACCUGUUCUUAUCAGUUUAAUAUCUGAUAUGUCAUCUGAGAACUAUACAGUGGUACCUUGGUUGUUGAACUUAAUCCGUU
RNAcentral lists this small nuclear RNA (117 nucleotides) under Podarcis muralis (Common wall lizard). Its description in RNAcentral is "U2 spliceosomal RNA (ENSPMRG00000003354.1)". It matches the Rfam family "U2 spliceosomal RNA". Rfam says of the family: U2 is a small nuclear RNA (snRNA) component of the spliceosome (involved in pre-mRNA splicing). Lineage: Eukaryota; Metazoa; Chordata; Lepidosauria; Squamata; Lacertidae. The record is from Rfam by way of RNAcentral.